UACGGGGGGGGCAAGCGUUGUUCGGAAUUACUGGGCGUAAAGCGUGCGCAGGCGGUUUUGUAAGUCUGACGUGAAAUCCCCGGGCUUAACCUGGGAAUUGCGUUGGAGACUGCAAGGCUGGAGUCUGGCAGAGGGGGGUAGAAUUCCACGUGUAGCAGUGAAAUGCGUAGAGAUGUGGAGGAACACCGAUGGCGAAGGCAGCCCCCUGGGUCAAGACUGACGCUCAUGCACGAAAGCGUGGGGAGCAAACAGG
RNAcentral lists this ribosomal RNA (253 nucleotides) under uncultured bacterium. RNAcentral describes it as "partial 16S ribosomal RNA". It matches the Rfam family "Bacterial small subunit ribosomal RNA", at positions 524 to 776 of the family's 1533-position model. The record is from RNAcentral.